UACGGAGGAUGCAAGCGUUAUCCGGAAUUAUUGGGCGUAAAGAGCUCGUAGGCGGUUUGUCGCGUCUGCUGUGAAAACCUAAGGCUCAACCUUGGGCUUGCAGUGGGUACGGGCAGACUAGAGUGCGGUAGGGGUGACUGGAAUUCCUGGUGUAGCGGUGGAAUGCGCAGAUAUCAGGAGGAACACCGAUGGCGAAGGCAGGUCACUGGGCCGCAACUGACGCUGAGGAGCGAAAGCAUGGGGAGCGAACAGG
This 253-nucleotide ribosomal RNA is filed under the name uncultured bacterium. Its description in RNAcentral is "partial 16S ribosomal RNA". It matches the Rfam family "Bacterial small subunit ribosomal RNA", at positions 524 to 776 of the family's 1533-position model. The record is from RNAcentral.